UAAAGAUUAUAUCUUUUAUUAGAAA
Molecule: transfer RNA, 25 nt
Filed under: Anopheles moucheti moucheti
Lineage: Eukaryota; Metazoa; Arthropoda; Insecta; Diptera; Culicidae
Description: partial tRNA-Leu
Source: RNAcentral